Long non-coding RNA from Vulpes vulpes (red fox), 1391 nucleotides. The record is from Ensembl. Lineage: Eukaryota; Metazoa; Chordata; Mammalia; Carnivora; Canidae.
GCAGCGGAACCCCUGGGCCUUACCAGCUCUGUGACUUCGGAGAUACUUCACCACCACCGGGGCCUGUUUCUCCUCUGUCUGGCAGGGCUGAUGUCACUCACCUGGCGGGGGGAGGAGAAGAGCGGGGUGAUGAGAGGAACCGUGUGCCCGGAGUCUCUGGCUCACAUCCGGUUAAAAGAGCAAUAAAACACUACAUAAUUGGAAGACAAAGGCGACUGCCUGGCCAGCCCGCCCUAAGGAGCGGAGUGCCGGUAACUUGGGUGUGAUCCUACCUGUGAUUCAUGCAGAGAAAUUACAGCCUUCCGUGUACAGGAGUGGGCUCUGCAGAGUGGCUGAGGGUUCAGACCCCCACUUGUCUCGGACCCUUGUCCAGGAGAGCUGAAAGGCCACCAUCAUUCCUUCCUGGACACCUUGUUCCAGCUCACCAGGCCUGCCAGGGUUUCCAUGGGCCUGGCUGGCACGUCCCUGCCCCCAAUGCCAGAUCCUGGCAGUUUCAUGUGCACCAAGUCUCAGAGUGCUGAGCCACAGGGAUCCAGGUAUGUGUGGGGCUCUCAUCUUUUUGGAGAAGCCCCUUCCUUCAUCUUCCAGAGGAGGAGGUUGAGAUGAGGUGGGGAGUACGGGGACUAGAACCGGGGCCUCCUGCUUUUCAGGCCAGGCAACCUAUGGAGAGGUUUUGGCAGGGCCCCCGGUGGGACAUCCUCGGGUAACCCUGGUGCCCUGGGUCCUGGCAGAGUGUGACGGAGGGCUCAGAGCAGGGCUAGGGCUAGACCCACAGUAGGACCAGAGACCAGCUGGAGCUGGUUCUCAGCAGGUGCCAUAAGGCUGGGGCCAGAAAAAGGUGGCAAAGAGGGGACAGUGUCCUGCUCUUCCAGACCCAUCCUCCACUGUCUCCCUGUGUGGCCCAGCGUCUUCAUCUGAAAGAUGGGACAGUAACCUGGGCCUGGGCUUCUUCCUGCCUCAAAGGCUGAUGUGUUGAGUAGACUGUGGACAUGAGGGUGCUCCGGGAACCACAAAGCUGGCUCUGGUAUGUGGUGGGCCUGAAUCGCUAAAGGACCACAGUCUGCAGGUCCCUGAGGGGUCUCCAAGAGUCCCUAGAAGAAUGGCUCAGUGAGGAGGCUGGGGGCAGGAGUUGCUGAUUCCAUUUCACUCUCCAGGCAGAGCUGUAAGCAGAUGGACUGAGCUUGGAGGUGGUGACUUUCCCCUCACUGCUAGGAUAAAAGCAAGAGCCAGAGUUUCUCCUGGCUGGGAGGCUAUGAAAAGAUGCAAGCAUUUGAUGCCAUUCUGUCCUUUCCAGCCCAGCAAGUCUCUGGCAGCUGCUUUGAAUACUUAUUUCUUUUCUAACGCAACACUGUGUGUCAACUAUACUUUAAUAAAAAAUAAUAAAUUUUACA